This 774-nucleotide ribosomal RNA is filed under the name uncultured Neocallimastigales. RNAcentral describes it as "partial large subunit ribosomal RNA". It matches the Rfam family "Eukaryotic large subunit ribosomal RNA", at positions 24 to 643 of the family's 3401-position model. The record is from RNAcentral. Lineage: Eukaryota; Fungi; Neocallimastigomycota; Neocallimastigomycetes; Neocallimastigales.
UAUGUGAUCGUCUCUCGCAUAUCAAUAAGCGGAGGAAAAGAAACUAACAAGGAUUCCCCUAGUAACGGCGAGUGAAGCGGGAAGAGCUCAAAUUUGAAAUCUUAAAGGGUUUCCCUUUACGAAUUGUAGUUUAAAGAAGUGUUUUCUGUUGAGGUUUUGGUAAAAGUUCUUUGGAAUAGGACAUCAUAGAGGGUGAGAAUCCCGUAUUUGACCUUUACUUUCAACUUUGUGAUACACUUUCAAAGAGUCGGAUUGUUUGGGAAUGCAGUCCAAAAUGGGUGGUAAAUUUCAUCUAAAGCUAAAUAUUGGCGAGAGACCGAUAGCGAACAAGUACCGUGAGGGAAAGAUGAAAAGAACUUUGAAAAGAGAGUUAAACAGUACGUGAAAUUGUCAAAAGGGAAGCGUUUGACACCAGUGUUGUUUUUCUGAAAAUCAAUUAAAGAACUGUUUAUGCUAAGUUGUUUAGACUUUAUCAGCUAUCUGUUUAGUUUUGAGCUUUUCUUUAAUGCACUUUUCAGUUAACAAGUCAACAUCAAUUUCUUUUGCUGUAAAAAAGCUUGAGGAAGGUGGCUUGAGAUUCGUCUUAAGUGUUUAUAGCCUCUUGCCUAUGCAGUCGGAGAGAUUGAGGUCUGCAGCGUAGAUCCUUCGGGGCUAAAUGCAUUUGUGCUAAGUUAUAACAUUUUAUAGACAACUUGUUGACUAUGAUUUGUCUUGUAGCUUACUCGCUUAUGUUAUUUUACCUACGCUUAGGAUGUUGACACACGCGCGUGCUCG